Pogonomyrmex barbatus (red harvester ant) is the source of this 1704-nucleotide long non-coding RNA. The record is from RefSeq and is a predicted model, not a curated record. Lineage: Eukaryota; Metazoa; Arthropoda; Insecta; Hymenoptera; Formicidae.
GGCGGAUCGCGGCGAAAGUGAAGGGUGGAAGUUAGAUUCGCAGGGUGGAACGAUUCGGAAACGGACCACUAUUUUCUCAUUUCCCGGCGGAAUGUUCCGUAGAUGUUACGCGCUUUACUUUCUCCCGGAAGUCUCCGUUCGCUUUUGCGAUUUGUAAUAAAUCUCUUUCCUCGGCUAGGCGUUUACACAUUUAUGAAAGAGCGCACGUUGCCUCACCUAUUCGCCUAUUUCAACAACAAGGCUAUUAAGCGAUUUUUAAUGUCUUUUUAAUGUCUUUUUCUUAUGUCUCUGACGGAGAUGGUUCUGUGAUGAGCUUUUAACAAGAUCGCUUUAUUGUUUUCUCGCUUCGAUUGUCCUGGGAGUCUUUUUGAUAGAACAAGUUGUCGUCGCACUCGAUAUGCUCGAAAUACUAAGUGUUCCCUCGAAGUUGGCGGGUUCGAGACUGGAUCUUUGAUGUCUAAGAUCGUCCUUAUGCAACUAAAGACGUAGUUAGAGGAUUUCCAUCAAAUUGAGCUGGCCUACAGUUAGAAGAAAAUUCAAUUGCUGAGACUCGAAUACCUCUGCACCAAAACUUAGCUGUUACAAUGAUUUCAUAUGCAUAUCAAGAUUGAAAAGGUCAAAUAGACAAUGUGAAGUUUCUUUCUGGAUCAAUAUACCCUGUGUAUUUACUCGUCGAAAAUGCGUGCAAGUUACAUCUAUGACUCUUGAUAUUCACGUACUAUACUCAGUUGCAAUCUGUGUAUUAACACGCAUAAUAAUUUUUUAUAGAAACAAGCUUUUAAUGGGGAGAGAAUGAUAUCUACAUAUCGUUGAAUUACAUUGAUUUUCCCAAGAAUUCUUCUCUUUUUAAUUGCUCAAUUAAAAUUCAAGAGGAAGGAUAUACUCACGUAAUUCGGAAACAGCUGAAACAGCUGUUUGCAUGUCAAUGCGGCAAACAUCAGAUUCCUCCGCAGCAGCUGUCGGAAUGUCCAAUAUCACUUCAGCCUGAAAAAGAAAAAUGUUGUAAAUAUGCAAAAACGCAAAAAUGUAAUCUUAGCGGAAGAGAAUGAAGUUAUUAACAUCUAACGAAUAUAUUACACGGAAUUAUGUCGGAAAUGUUUGAUUAAUUGAAGAGUUCUUCUGUCAAAAACAAGGCCAACAAUUGUGGACGUGUUGUUGAGCAAUGACUGUGUGACGCAAGUAUUCCAAGUUCUCGAAAACUGUCGUGCAACUCGAACGUGAUUCAGAAUUCAUCGUUACAUCGCGUUAGCAGCAGCAGCAACGGCAAUAAAGAUUCAAAUUACAAUAUGCGAAGCCUUCGCAACAUCGUCGUAAACGUAAAGGCAAUUUCGGAGGAUUUAUGCAUAUACAUAGGAAAAAUACAGGCGUAACCGGCAAUUCAAAAAUGUUCACAAGACGAGAAAAGAUAUGUCCAUUCCACUAAAGGUUUCUAACAAAUCAUUAAUGUUAUCAAUACUACUUUGGAAGUGACAACAUUGAUAUACAGCGAAGUUAUGAUGUAAAAUGCUACCGACAAUAAUGUCGUGAUAAUGUUUGAUUAGUGCUAUCCAUUAAUUCCUCGACAAUACUAAUAACAAAUAGCGCUGAUAAUGAGUUUCGUAAACGCAACUUCUUUCUUGUUGGAAAGUACCUUAAGAGCCGGUCUCACAACUUACGAUUAAUUUAAUCAAUUGAUUAAAUUUAAUAACUAAUUGCAAUAUUUGC